CCUGGGCGGGGCACUGUCCUUUUCUGUUUGCAGAUACUGGAGGUUGGAAACGGGCCUGGGGACAGGAGGGUCAGGGCAGGCCAGGGCCAAGGGCUCGGAUGAUGCAGUCAGGCUGUGAGGCUGAGCCAGGGGCUCGUGGGGAGCUGGCUUCCCGGGCUUCUCCCCACCCUGGCACGAGUAGCUGGAGCCAGAACGAGGUGCAGUGCAUGGAGGUAACCCUGAGGCCACUCAGUCCCUGGACCUGGCCGGAUCCCUGAAUCCGUCUUGACCCCAUGGCCCCUGAGUAUCAGAGAUGCCCAGGAGCCCCGAGUCUGCAUGACAAGUGCUGCUGUGAGCCCCAUCUCCCCCGUCUCUGCCUCCUUGGACCCCUCUGUUCUCGCUGCUGCACAGGUCCUCUGAGUCCUGAGCCUGACGUAGUCAGGCCCUCCAGAGACGUUCAGGACCUCGGACAGCGCCCCACAUUCCCCCAUUCUGGAACUGGCGCUCACCAGAUCUCACCAGGCGCCUCCUGCCACUGUCCCCUCCCCAGAACCCCGAGGAGGCCGACCCUCUCUGCGGGCAGUGGGCCUUCUUCCGAAAUGUCUCAGCCCUACCCGGCCUUUGCAGUGAGAGUAUAAGGGCAGGGGAAGGCUUCUCCUCUUGGGUGCCCUGAGGGAGAAUAAGCCCGGGAGGGUGGGGGGCAGGGACGGGCCACCAGGCCUCAGUGGUGUCCCUGGCCACACGGCGGAGCUGGGACCUGCUGCGGACUCUCCUCUCUAAUAUCCCCGACCACCCCCUCCCUGAAGCCUGGUGCUGGUUCCUCCCUCUGGGUCAUCCCGGCCUCCCCUGCAGCCCCAGCAGCCCAGCCGAGGCCGAGCUUUCUCAGCGAGCCUGAGUCUUCAAGUGUGGACAUGGCUUCAGAUGACUGGACCUCACAGGUGCCCCCAUAGGUCCUCAGCUGAGACCUCUGAGGCCAUCACGUAGGGGAGGCAGCUCAGGCAUCCGGAGCAGGGAAAAUAACGUCCCCUCAACUCGUGGGAGUCGAUAUUAAAA
This 1032-nucleotide long non-coding RNA is filed under the name Homo sapiens (human). RNAcentral's name for it is "HSALNT0279285". Lineage: Eukaryota; Metazoa; Chordata; Mammalia; Primates; Hominidae. The record is from RNAcentral.